UGAGGGUACCCGGAGAAAAAGCAUCGGCUAACUCCGUGCCAGCAGCCGCGGUAAUACGGAGGAUGCGAGCGUUAUCCGGAUUCAUUGGGUUUAAAGGGUGCGCAGGCGGGCCUUUAAGCCGGCGGUGAAAUCGCGGGGCUCAACCCCGCCGAGCCGUCGGAACUGGGGGCCUUGAGUGCGGCGGAGGCAUGCGGAAUGCGCGGUGUAGCGGUGAAAUGCAUAGAUAUCGCGCAGAACCCCGAUUGCGAAGGCAGCGUGCCGUGCCGCCACUGACGCUGAGGCACGAAAGCGCGGGGAUCGAACAGGAUUAGAUACCCUGGUAGUCCGCGCCGUAAACGAUGGAUGCUGGGUGUCCGGGGCGUUC
Molecule: ribosomal RNA, 364 nt
Filed under: uncultured bacterium
Lineage: Bacteria
Description: bacterial SSU rRNA
Rfam family: Bacterial small subunit ribosomal RNA
Source: RNAcentral